CUUACUAACAGGUAAAUGUUUUUCCCACAUCACUGGGGAAAGCCGACAGAUACCCACCAGUUGUACAGGCUUCUGAUUGGUCAGGUUUUCCUGUUGUCAUGGUCCUUAAUGGAAGUGCCCACGGUAUUCUUAUUGAUGUUACCACUCAGUAAAAAGAUUUUAUUUUGCUUUCUCCCCUCCUCUGGGGAAAUUUAAGGACCAACUGAAAGCCACCCAUAUAUAACUUUUCAACAGGUUAGAGUAGGGUUUUUUUUUUUUUAAUGCAAUAAAUCAACCCAGACUUCAGUAAUUGGGGCACAAACAGAUGAGCCCCGUCAGGACGCAGCUGGAGCAUGUGGUGACUGUGGACACCGGGAGGGCCUGGUGACGAGGGGCAGGAGAACCAGGCUUGGUCCUGGGGGGGAGGCAGCUGGGAGUCUGACCACAGAUGAACCUGGUUGAGUGGGCGGUGCCAGUGCGGAUGCGGGAGGAACUAGCCCUGUUCCUGGUGAGGCUUCUGGGUCCCAGGGCUACCCAGGGAGCUCCCAGACCUCCCUGCCCAGCUCAGACAGCCC
This 554-nucleotide long non-coding RNA is filed under the name Bos taurus (domestic cattle). RNAcentral's name for it is "long non-coding RNA NONBTAT016639". The record is from RNAcentral. Lineage: Eukaryota; Metazoa; Chordata; Mammalia; Artiodactyla; Bovidae.